This is a long non-coding RNA of Prionailurus viverrinus (fishing cat), 384 nucleotides long. RefSeq lists it as uncharacterized. The transcript is spliced from 4 exons. Lineage: Eukaryota; Metazoa; Chordata; Mammalia; Carnivora; Felidae. The record is from RefSeq and is a predicted model, not a curated record.
GACCAGGCGAGGCGACUCCCGCCCAGGGCCCGACUUCCUCACCGGCCGCGGGUCCCGGAGAAUCCUGAUCUCAGACCUUCUUUGUGCUUCAGGGUUGGUGAGCCCAGACCCAUAGAUGCCUAUAACAGUGCCUGAGACACAGAAGAUACUCAAGAACUACUUGAUGAAUGAAUGACUUCUCAGCAUGGAAAUCAGAUUUUUCUGGAAUCAAUGAACGAUUUGUCUUGCUCCUUUAUGGUAAUCAAUUUCAAGAUUUCAAGACUCCAUGUCAAGAUAAAGCCCAUCAGAUGAAGACCACCAGAAACACACUUGUACUUAAAGUUUGGUGUAUUUACCUGCUGCUACUACAAGAGGAGCAUAAGGCCUCUCCUGGACCCUGGGAUG